AGAGUUUGAUCCUGGCUCAGGAUGAACGCUAGCUACAGGCUUAACACAUGCAAGUCGAGGGGCAUCGGGAAGAAAGCUUGCUUUCUUUGCCGGCGACCGGCGCACGGGUGAGUAACACGUAUCCAACCUGCCCUUUACUCGGGGAUAGCCUUUCGAAAGAAAGACUAAUACCCGAUGGCAUAAUGAUUCCGCAUGGUUUCAUUAUUAAAGGAUUCCGGUAAAGGAUGGGGAUGCGUUCCAUUAGGUUGUUGGUGAGGUAACGGCCCACCAAGCCUUCGAUGGAUAGGGGUUCUGAGAGGAAGGUCCCCCACAUUGGAACUGAGACACGGUCCAAACUCCUAUGGGAGGCAGCAGUGAGGAAUAUUGGUCAAUGGGCGCUAGCCUGAACCAGCCAAGUAGCGUGAAGGAUGAAGGCUCUAUGGGUCGUAAACUUCUUUUAUAUAAGAAUAAAGUGCAGUAUGUAUACUGUUUUGUAUGUAUUAUAUGAAUAAGGAUCGGCUAACUCCGUGCCAGCAGCCGCGGUAAUACGGAGGAUCCGAGCGUUAUCCGGAUUUAUUGGGUUUAAAGGGCGCGUAGGCGGGACGACAAGUCAGCGGUAAAAGACUGCAGCUAAACUGUAGCACGCCGUUGAAACUGUCGACCUGGAGACGAGACGAGGGAGGCGGAACAAGUGAAGUAGCGGUGAAAUGCAUAGAUAUCACUUGGAACCCCGAUAGCGAAGGCAGCUUCCCAGGCUCGAUCUGACGCUGAUGCGCGAGAGCGUGGGUAGCGAACAGGAUUAGAUACCCUGGUAGUCCACGCCGUAAACGAUGCUCACUGGAUCUUGGCGAUACACGGCCAGGGUUCAAGCGAAAGUAUUAAGUGAGCCACCUGGGGAGUACGUCGGCAACGAUGAAACUCAAAGGAAUUGACGGGGGCCCGCACAAGCGGAGGAACAUGUGGUUUAAUUCGAUGAUACGCGAGGAACCUUACCCGGGUUUAAAUGCAGGUUGCAUGAGGUGGAAACACCUCUUUCCCUCGGGACUACCUGCAAGGUGCUGCAUGGUUGUCGUCAGCUCGUGCCGUGAGGUGUCGGGUUAAGUCCCAUAACGAGCGCAACCCCUAUCGCCAGUUGCCAUCGGUUUCGGCCGGGCACUCUGUCGAGACUGCCACCGUAAGGUGCGAGGAAGGCGGGGAUGACGUCAAAUCAGCACGGCCCUUACACCCGGGGCGACACACGUGUUACAAUGGCCGGUACAGAGGGCAGCCACGGGGCGACCCGGAGCGAAUCUCUAAAGCCGGUCGUAGUUCGGACUGGAGUCUGCAACCCGACUCCACGAAGUUGGAUUCGCUAGUAAUCGCGCAUCAGCCAUGGCGCGGUGAAUACGUUCCCGGGCCUUGUACACACCGCCCGUCAAGCCAUGGGAGCCGGGGGUACCUGAAGUACGUAACCGCAAGGAUCGUCCUAGGGUAAAACUGGUGACUGGGGCUAAGUCGUAACAAGGUAGCCGUA
RNAcentral lists this ribosomal RNA (1492 nucleotides) under uncultured bacterium. RNAcentral describes it as "bacterial SSU rRNA". It matches the Rfam family "Bacterial small subunit ribosomal RNA". The record is from RNAcentral.